GAUGAACGCUGGCGGCGUGCUUAACACAUGCAAGUCGAACGGAGAAUUUUAUUUCGGUAGAAUUCUUAGUGGCGAACGGGUGAGUAACGCGUAGACAACCUGCCUCUUAGAUGGGGACAACAUCGCGAAAGCGGUGCUAAUACCGAAUGAAGUGGAGCUUCCGCAUGGAAGCAUCACCAAAGGUGGCCUCUAUUUAUAAGCUACCACUGAGAGAUGGGUCUGCGUCUGAUUAGCUAGUUGGCGGGGUAAUGGCCCACCAAGGCGACGAUCAGUAGCCUGUCUUAGAGGAUGAACGGCCACAUUGGGACUGAGACACGGCCCAAACUCCUACGGGAGGUAGCAGUGGGGAAUCUUCCGCAAUGGACGAAAGUCUGACGGAGCAACGCCGCGUGAGUGAAGAAGGUUUUCGGAUCGUAAAGCUCUGUUGUUUGAGACGAAUGUGCAGACUUUGAAUAAGGGUUUGUAAUGACGGUAUUAAACGAGAAAGCCACGGCUAACUACGUGCCAGCAGCCGCGGUAA
Molecule: ribosomal RNA, 520 nt
Filed under: uncultured bacterium
Lineage: Bacteria
Description: partial 16S ribosomal RNA
Rfam family: Bacterial small subunit ribosomal RNA
Source: RNAcentral